UACGAAGGGGGCUAGCGUUGCUCGGAAUCACUGGGCGUAAAGCGUGCGCAGGCGGUUCGCUAAGACAGAUGUGAAAUCCCCGGGCUUAACCUGGGAACUGCAUUUGUGACUGGCGGGCUAGAGUAUGGCAGAGGGGGGUAGAAUUCCACGUGUAGCAGUGAAAUGCGUAGAGAUGUGGAGGAAUACCGAUGGCGAAGGCAGCCCCCUGGGCCAAUACUGACGCUCAUGCACGAAAGCGUGGGGAGCAAACAGG
Molecule: ribosomal RNA, 253 nt
Filed under: uncultured bacterium
Lineage: Bacteria
Description: partial 16S ribosomal RNA
Rfam family: Bacterial small subunit ribosomal RNA
Source: RNAcentral